GUACGAUAAGAGUGAUAGUUCUUUAAAAAAAUUAACAGCAUCAAUGUCUGGUUUAUGGUAUUGAUAAUACUGAAGAUUCAUGAUUAUAAAGAGCCAAGGUUUUUAACACAACUGUAAUUUCAUUCUUCAAUUUUAGUCCUUUUUCUUUCAAUUCCAUUAUUUUAUUUCUUCCACGAGCAGGUAAACAUGCCUCAAAAUUUGCAUUCCAUAGAGCAGUUUUUCUUUUUGAAGGGUAUAGUCAGUCAGUCUACAAAAAAGCACUGCCACGAAGCUAAAUCGUUUUAUUGUUUGAAAGGGCAAAUGUUCCAUUGCCACACAGAAUGUAAAAAGAAAAUAAUCAACAUUAGAUUUUAAAUGCAGGUAGUUAUUUCAGAUGUUUGAACCAUAAACAAACAACCAUUGCUGAAAAGCUUCUUAAAAGCUUGAAAUUCAGAACUUCAGGGUAUCAAAAAGUCAGAAGAAUAGCAAAAUCAAAUGUUGACUUCUAACCUGCCAGGAAGCUAUAUUAUUUUCUCAUUUCAACAAUGUCCAAGCCCAUAAAAGUUAAUUGCAAGAAUUUAGGUAUAGUUUUAAAAUCCCAUGUCCUCUUUUACUAUUAAUAGAAUAAUGCUUACCUUUGCUUUUUAUUCUAGAAAUGUUUUCUUAGUGUUAAGUGUAGCCCUUAAUAAAUGAGGCUUUAUUUUAGCCGAUCAUCCUCCACUGUGAAAUCAGCCCUGCAACGUAUCUUGUUUAGGUUCGUACAGAAUUUAAACAAUAUUUUCCAUGUUAAUUAAAGUAAAUAAUUAUUUUACUUUCAGAGCAAACAAAAGAGAAAUCAACAUUUCUUUGUUUGCUGGUGUCUGGAUGUUUUUCCCCGGGAAUAUCUGAAUCAAGACUAUUUGGACUCAGU
RNAcentral lists this long non-coding RNA (889 nucleotides) under Pan troglodytes (chimpanzee). Its description in RNAcentral is "long non-coding RNA NONPTRT012770". The record is from RNAcentral. Lineage: Eukaryota; Metazoa; Chordata; Mammalia; Primates; Hominidae.